GUGGGGUUGUGGCUCAGUGGUAGAGCGCUCGCCUAGCAGGCGCGAGGCCCUGGGUUCGACCCUCAGCACCACG
This 73-nucleotide transfer RNA is filed under the name Marmota monax (woodchuck). RNAcentral describes it as "tRNA.Ala". It matches the Rfam family "tRNA". From Rfam's summary of the family: Transfer RNA (tRNA) molecules are approximately 80 nucleotides in length. Their secondary structure includes four short double-helical elements and three loops (D, anti-codon, and T loops). Further hydrogen bonds mediate the characteristic L-shaped molecular structure. tRNAs have two regions of fundamental functional importance: the anti-codon, which is responsible for specific mRNA codon recognition, and the 3' end, to which the tRNAs corresponding amino acid is attached (by aminoacyl-tRNA synthetases). tRNAs cope with the degeneracy of the genetic code in two manners: having more than one tRNA (with a specific anti-codon) for a particular amino acid; and 'wobble' base-pairing, i.e. permitting non-standard base-pairing at the 3rd anti-codon position. Lineage: Eukaryota; Metazoa; Chordata; Mammalia; Rodentia; Sciuridae. The record is from RNAcentral.